This is a regulatory RNA element of Enterococcus pallens ATCC BAA-351, 69 nucleotides long. It matches the Rfam family "L17 ribosomal protein downstream element". The record is from Rfam. NCBI's taxonomy places the organism in Bacteria, Bacillati, Bacillota, Bacilli, Lactobacillales, Enterococcaceae.
AGAGUGUUAUGAUGUUGGAGAUUAUCUCCGAGUCUAGCUCAGCGCUGCUUCCCAGAUUGUUCUGGGAAG